This 369-nucleotide ribosomal RNA is filed under the name uncultured bacterium. RNAcentral's name for it is "bacterial SSU rRNA". It matches the Rfam family "Bacterial small subunit ribosomal RNA", at positions 527 to 895 of the family's 1533-position model. The record is from RNAcentral.
AGAGGGAGCAAGCGUUAUUCGGAAUUAUUGGGCGUAAAGGGCGCGUAGGCGGGUUAUCAAGUCAGGGGUGAAAUCUUUCGGCUCAACCGGAAAACGGCCCCUGAUACUGGUAGUCUUGAGGGAGGUAGGGGCAGGUGGAACUUCCGGUGGAGCGGUGAAAUGUGUUGAUAUCGGAAGGAACGCCGGUGGCGAAAGCGACCUGCUGGAUCUCUUCUGACGCUGAGGCGCGAAAGCUAGGGGAGCGAACGGGAUUAGAUACCCCGGUAGUCCUAGCCCUAAACGAUGGGUACUAGAUUGUGGACUUAACAUGGGUUCACAGUCGAAGCAAAAGUGGUAAGUACCCCGCCUGGGGAGUAUGGUCGCAAGGCU